CAGACCGGGAGGGGUAUAUUACGCGCCUGUGUUCCGGCUAUCUAGUUUUCUGCGCAGAUGGCACCCAGCACGAUCCCGAACUGCCCCAACGAUGUUCGUGACCAGGAGCGGAGGGCGCAUUGCGGACUUCUUGGAGGAGGUUGACCAGCUACCCCCCAGCGUGCGCGUCGUCGUCCUGCACUGUGGGACAAACGACAUGCCAUACAGCGACCCCGACUCGGCCAUCCGGCACUACGUGCAGCUUCUGGAUCACAUUCGUUCCCGCGGGAACAUCGAUCUUGUAGUAUGUACUCUUAUUCUACCCCGCUCCUUCAACCGCCGUCGAUCUUAUCCCGACAGGCGCCGUGAGUUCCAAUGUAACCCACGGGCGUACGGCUUCAACAUGCGGCUGCGAGACCUGUGCAAGCGAUCGCCGGACCUCUACUUUCUGGAUCACGGCUUUCAUCGACAACCCCCGACGAGAGUCCUAGCAGCCGACGGCCUGCACCCUAACUUCGAGGGAGUCCGGCAGAUAGCAGACCGAGUGCGAACCCUACUGCCCCGGCUUCUACGUCGGCUGCCUGUCCACAAGGAAGGAGGCACCGGGACGCCUGAUCCAGUAUGGCCCACAAUCCAGGAAGCAGCAGCGAGCAGUCGGAGCCACGUCCACGUUCAGAAGACGUCUAAGAAGCAGGAUUGACUAACCGGUGAGUCUGAACCAAUUUAUCCCGGCGAAACUACUAGCAGUGACACUCAGGCGUUUUUCCAACUCAGAAAAAUCGCGGACAAAAUUGCGCGCUACUCCUCUCACCUUAAUACUCUUGUAACAUAUGAAAGGAGUGGAAAAUGCCCGCGAGGACUGCAGAUUCGUAAGAUAUCUACGUUUCCUCUUAACCAAAACCUUGAAAAAGAGUGGUUAUCAACCCUGCACAAUACGUCCCUAGCCCUAACAAAAAUACUAGUUAUGCAGUGUCAAGAUACAAUAAAUUCCCUGUCAGAGGAGGCAAACACCGUCUCAAACGAAACCACCUUAUCAGAGUCUCAUAGAGCAGAACUAGACGAGUUCUUUCAAAAGAAACGAGUGAGCCUAAAACUACAGAAAGAAAAAAAGCUCACUCGGGAUAACAUACAACAUCAUACCGCCGAUAACACCGCCUCAAACGCGCCCAAUUUCUUGUGCACUUCUGCCAUAGCCUCAAACCCUAAUCUGCAGCACGCCCCUGAAACGCACCUAACUAAUAAUUCCCCUCCAAUGCGUGAUGCCGACCGACAACCAAAAGAUCGUAACGUUAUCAACCUUUCUUCACGUGAACUUACGAACUCCGAUCGUUCCUUACUUGGUAAAGGAUUAUCGUUCUGCCCUAAUGAUGCAAGAGUGGAUGAAUACCAGUUACAUUUAGAUCUUGAUAACUUUGCCCGGAGGCUACGGCUUGCAGAAUAUUUUCAUGAAAAGACAGAGUCGAACAGUAAUCCGUUUCGUAUAAAAUCAGAGUUCACUCCAGAACCUAACCGAGAUAAAACCCUUGAUUUGUACAUUAAAGCAGUUCAGAAGGAUAUCUUCCGUGCGUAUCAGGACAGCGCCAAACGCAAACUCAGGUAUAACGUCACUAAGCAGGAGCAAGAAAGCUUGUCGGCAUUAGAGAACGACAAGGAUAUCGUAAUUAAGAGGGCAGAUAAAGGAGGCGCGAUAGUUGUAAUGGAUAAACAAUCAUACGUUACAGAAGGCCUCCGCCAACUUCAGUGCGCGGAAUUUUACAGACCUCUCGAAACUGACCCUACCCCCGAAAUUAGUGCCAAUGUAACCAAAGUCCUAACAAGAUUAAAAAAACGCUAAAAAGAUUGACGAGAGCUUGUACCAGUAUUUACUCCCAAAGGACCCUAGGCCUGGUAGAUUUUACAUGCUCCCCAAGAUACAUAAGCCGGGUAACCCCGGAAGACCGAUUGUUUCCUGUAAUGGUACAGCCACUGAGAAUCUUUCAUCAUUCGUGGAUCAUCUCCUCAAGCCCAUCCCGUCUAAAUUCGACUCAUACGUUAAGGAUACCAACCAUUUCCUUCAAGAUAUAGUAAAAUAAACGUUCCCCCUAACUGUCUGUUAGCAACCCUAGAUGUCACUUCCCUGUAUACUACCAUUCCUCACUCAGAUGGAAUAGCAGCAGCAGAGCGUGCAUUUAAGAAUCAACCCGAUCAGGGUUAUGAUACGUCUGUCCUCACGGAGCUCCUGAAUCUGAUCCUAACAUGCAAUAACUUUGAAUUCGACGACGAACACUACAUACAGGUCAACGGUACAGCAAUGGGAACAAAAAUGGGCCCUAACUAUGCAAAUAUCUUCAUGGCAUCCUUGGAAGAACCGUUCCUCAGAAAUUGUGCACUGAAGCCACUCCUAUAUAAGCGAUUCCUAGAUGAUAUAUUCAUUAUUUGGCCCCACUCCGAAUGCGACCUUCAGUUGUUUGUUAACGACUUUAACCAAGUACAUCCCAGUAUUGAAUUUACAGUAUCAAUUACUCCUCCUCAGCUGUUAAUUUUCUGGAUGUGGAAGUUAAACUACAUAAUGGAAUCAUAACCACCAGUCUGUAUCGCAAGCCUACCGACUCCCAACAAUAUCUAUCGUUCCAGAGUUGCCACCCCAGGCACACUAAGCUAGCUAUCCCUUAUAGUCAAGCGCUGCGUUACCGGAGAAUAUGUUCUAACGAUGAUGAACUAGACAAUCAUCUUGAGAGCCUUGAAGAAACUUUCGCAGAUAGAAAAUAUCCUAAUCAGGUCGUAAAAGAUGCCAUAGCCAGAGCUAGAUCAACCGAUCGAGAGAACCUAUUCCAAACACAGCCCCGAGCUGAUAAGAAUUCUUCGGUAAACCUCACUAUUAGCUUCAACGGUUAUGCCCCGGACGUAAACCGCAUACUUAAACGGCACUAUGCAAUCCUCACCCAAUCUGAUCGCAUGAGUCAGGUGUUUCCGGAACCACCCCGCGUUACUUAUCGUCGAGCAAGGAACAUCCAAGACAGACUUGUGAACGCCAAGUUAAACAAGUCCUCGGAACACAACGGUUGUCAACCAUGCAACUGACGCAGAUGCCAGAUCUGUAAAUUAAUGCAAACUGCUACAAGAGUAGAAAGCACAAAUUCUAACUAUCGCACAAAAAUUAAUGGUCUAUUUAACUGCAACUCUUCUAACGUCCUUUAUCUCCUUCAAUGUAAUGAGUGCAAGGCCCAAUAUAUCGGUCAAACAGCUACAUCCUUCCGAAUCCGAUUCAACAACCACAGGUCCGACGUAUCAAAGAAACCUAAUCUGCCAGUGUCUCGACAUUUUAGUAAACCCGGCCACUCAAUUAACGACAUAGCCAUUUUCGUUCUGCAAUCGGGUUUUCCAUCCCAACGCCUUAGAGAACAAAGAGAAUCGUUCCUGAUCUACAAAUUUAAAAGCCAGAUCAACGAGGACCCCGGCGUCCUCUCAACAGUUCGCAACCUAAAUUCCUAAUUCUCUCAGAAUACAUACACUCUUUUGUAUCUCUUUCAGACUCCCCGGUUGGUCACCCCAGGAAAUCAUUGCCCUCCGGCGAAGAACUUGACUGCCUAUGAUUCAUUGUACCCCUUUACCUUUGUUUGAGAAAGCACGUGUGCUGCCCUCUCUCCUUGUACAUAUUCCCCUCUCAUUCUUUGCAAUUGUCUUGCGUCACCAUAGUAUCCCAUUCCUGUUGAAGACAGCGCUGCUGUCGAAACGUCGAAUACCCCCUCUUAGUUUUUAAUAAAGUCCCCCUUUUAUUCCUUAUCCUGUAGAAGCACCGUCUCCACUUCUGA
Ornithodoros turicata is the source of this 3770-nucleotide RNA transcript. RefSeq lists it as uncharacterized. The transcript has 2 exons. NCBI's taxonomy places the organism in Eukaryota, Metazoa, Arthropoda, Arachnida, Ixodida, Argasidae. The record is from RefSeq and is a predicted model, not a curated record.